RNAcentral lists this ribosomal RNA (327 nucleotides) under uncultured eukaryote. Its description in RNAcentral is "partial 18S ribosomal RNA". It matches the Rfam family "Eukaryotic small subunit ribosomal RNA", at positions 1470 to 1796 of the family's 1831-position model. The record is from RNAcentral.
CCCUUAGAUGUUCUGGGCCGCACACGCGCUACACUGAAGGAGGCAGCGUGUACUCCUGGAUCGAAAGAUUUGGGUAACCCGCGAAUCUCCUUCGUGCUAGGGAUUGAGGUUUGCAAUUAUCCUUCAUGAACGAGGAAUUCCCAGUAAGUGCAAGUCAUAAGCUUGCGCUGACUACGUCCCUGCCCUUUGUACACACCGCCUGUCGCUACUACCGAUUGAAUGAUUUAGUGAGGACUUCGGACUGGGACCGAUGCGGCUUUCGGGCUGCGUCGGUAUUCUGGAAAGAUGUCCAAACUGUAUCAUUUAGAGGAAGUAAAANUCGUAACA